This 212-nucleotide ribosomal RNA is filed under the name uncultured eukaryote. RNAcentral describes it as "partial 18S ribosomal RNA". It matches the Rfam family "Eukaryotic small subunit ribosomal RNA", at positions 1299 to 1458 of the family's 1831-position model. The record is from RNAcentral.
UGGUGGAGUGAUUUGUCUGGUUAAUUCCGAUAACGAACGAGACCUCAGCUUGUUAACUAGUCUGCGCAAUCUUCUAUAUGGGAGAAGCUACUCGAUCACCUUGAGUCUGGGGCAACUCAGAUUUAAGGCCCUGUGGUGGAUCCUUGAAGUUUUGUGUGGUUACUUCUUAAAAGGACUAUCUGUGUUUAACGGAAGGAAGAGAGGCAAUAACA